GAGUUCUGGAGCUUCAAAGAGUGCUGGCCCUAUUUCCUGUGGAACAGAAGGAAUCUAACUGUGGGUCCACCCCCUACCCCGGGUCCCAAGCUCAGACUCCCGCUGGAGUGCCAGUGAACUCACUGUUCCUGCCCGGACACUGGGUGGAAGACUGGGGCCUUGUGGACGCCCGAGGAUGCUUCCCAAGAAACCAGAACAGACAAGACCCCAAGGAUAGAGAUCUAACGAUGGCUAACGGAGUUGGUCUGAUGGGCCUGGCAGUGGUCCCACGUGGGAGUGACUAUCCUGAGGACAAGCUCAUGCUACGAUGUCAACUCUCCUGUUCAGCAAUUCGGUGUCAGACCAGUGUUGAUAAGUGGUGGCCUGCAGCCUGUCCACAGCUCACUGACAAGCCCUGCGCUGCUGGCUGCCACCUGGACAGUGCUUCCUCCUCUCUCAGGACCCUUGUCCCCAGCCUUCCUUAGCAUUUCAUGAUGAAGCCACAUUUCUAAGUUGACACUAUUUUAGUGACUCUUUCAAGAGGCCUGUCAGCCAAAUGACUUCUCCGGAUUUGAACUUUCAGCCCUGGCCCCAUUCUGAAGCUCCAAAUAGCUACGCUUAGCAGUUUACUGGACUUCGCCAUACGGAUAAGGAUCUCAAACAAAAUAUGACCCAAAUGGACUUCCUGGAUGCCCCUUGGCUCCAAAUCUGUUCCAAUACCAGUCAUUUCCCACAACUGCCA
Long non-coding RNA from Phyllostomus hastatus (greater spear-nosed bat), 721 nucleotides. RefSeq lists it as uncharacterized. The record is from RefSeq and is a predicted model, not a curated record. The transcript is spliced from 3 exons. NCBI's taxonomy places the organism in Eukaryota, Metazoa, Chordata, Mammalia, Chiroptera, Phyllostomidae.